CCUACGGGAGGCAGCAGUGAGGAAUAUUGGUCAAUGGGCGCGAGCCUGAACCAGCCAAGUAGCGUGAAGGAUGACUGCCCUACGGGUUGUAAACUUCUUUUAUAAAGGAAUAAAGUGAGGCACGUGUGCCUUUUUGUAUGUACUUUAUGAAUAAGGAUCGGCUAACUCCGUGCCAGCAGCCGCGGUAAUACGGAGGAUCCGAGCGUUAUCCGGAUUUAUUGGGUUUAAAGGGAGCGUAGAUGGGUUGUUAAGUCAGUUGUGAAAGUUUGCGGCUCAACCGUAAAAUUGCAAUUGAUACUGGGAGGCUUGAGUACAGUUGAGGUAGGCGGAAGUGGUGGGGUAGGGGUGAACAGUUUA
This 357-nucleotide ribosomal RNA is filed under the name uncultured bacterium. RNAcentral describes it as "partial 16S ribosomal RNA". It matches the Rfam family "Bacterial small subunit ribosomal RNA", at positions 338 to 692 of the family's 1533-position model. The record is from RNAcentral.